Non-coding RNA from Misgurnus anguillicaudatus (oriental weatherfish), 1785 nucleotides. Lineage: Eukaryota; Metazoa; Chordata; Actinopteri; Cypriniformes; Cobitidae. The record is from RefSeq and is a predicted model, not a curated record.
AAUUGAUCGUUAGAAGGGAUUAAAAUUGAUUGUGUUAUGUUCUGUAAUUGUUGUUAAUAAAUCUUUCAGAAGAAAGUGUGUAAAAGUUUGACUACAGUAACCAUAUCUAACCAAGCUUCAUGUACCAAGAUAAUUAUUUCAUUUAUUUCUCAUCAGAUCAACUGUUCAUUUAUGCAGUUUAUGCUUUAUUUAUAGGUAGCAUAACUGUUACCUUUUUGUUUACAGUUCUGCAUAUAUAAUAUGACAAACCUAGGAGACUUUGCUGUAAGAGAAUUAAUCAUGUUUUUGUUUUCUUUUCUCAGGUCCGGUCAGUACCCACCACCCUUCCCUGUUCACCCACAGUUUAUACUUUUUCUUAGAAAACCAACGGCUCUUUUAAGAGCCACUUCAAUAGACCCUUUUACAGCCCACGUGAUCAAAUAGCCUGCGUGCGCAUUUUGGCAACGGAAGUGAUGUUAUUUCCCAGUGGUUCUAACGUGUAAGCAACUCAGAAAGUUUAUUAAAACGAUUUCCCCACAUCAAAACGUCUGGUUGUAGCAUUUGGUUGCACUAAUAUAAUAUAUGUUUAGUAUUUGGCCAUCUUCUAACGUCUUCUAUCCACUCCACUAUAGUACACGGAUCUGGUAACUGUGUAGAAAAUAAGUCAACUUUUUAAACUAACUUUCUCUGUCUGUGUUGCUUCACUGCUGAUUCUUGCCGUGCUUCCGUUGCCAAACUGCGUGCGCAUACGUUGCCACGUCAUCAUUGUGUACAAACAGUAAAAGGGUCACUCACUCACUCUUUCGCAAGCUUCUCUGUUUUCAAGUAUUGUAAUUUUAUUCAUUUUACUCUCUCUCUCACUGUCCAAAACACUUAUCCUAUGCCUCUUUGUCUGACCAAUGUAGUAUUGUUGAAAUGGCUGCUGAGCAAGACAGAGGGAGAGCAAAGGGUGUUAUUUUCAUAGCAGACAUGCUUCUUGCUCAAAUCAAGGCAAAGGAACCCAAGGGCAAAGCAACAGCCAUUAAAGGGAGUACAUUUAAUGUCAGAUAGGUGGAGAAAAUGCUGAAGGAGGUCCACUACUAAAAAGCAGCAGAAGUGAAGAGAUACAAAGCUUCAGCUACAGUCUGUUUAUUGCCUACAGUGAGACCUCCACAUUUCUGCACUUGUGAUCAUGCAAACAUCCAGUGUAGAGCACUUCACCUGCCCGGCAUGUACACCCAACAAUGCUCGCUCUUUGUGCAGAUGGCAACAGAAAAACCUACAGAUUCCGUCAGUCAAAAGAAAGGAGCUUUAAGCAGCCACAAACGGAGAGUUCUUUUGAACAGAUAUUGCUUGCAAGUAUUGGCCAUACCUUGAGAAGGCGUCAGUCUCCAUGUUGGAACUCAGACCUUUACUGCAGAUGAGACCUUUCCUUUCUGUCAUGCAUGCCAAGGCUCAUUCAACCAAGUGUCAGGUGUCACACAUUUGUUAGAUAAUCUGGCAAAAAUCAGGAAGGUGCUGGUACAACUGCAGUUGAGGAGGUCAAAAUGGUCAACAGCUACCUGUCUCGUUGUGGCCUCACAACCAAGUAUCUAAUUGAUGCCUAUUUAUAAUAUUUUAGGAAACCUGUCUUUAUUUUUUCACUUUUUUAUUCUUUCUGUCUAGUACUUUGAGAUUGCAUAAGAGUAAGCUGUAACUGUUCAAAGUACAUAAAAAUUGGCAUGUAGUUCUCUCUUAAAUUUUAAACUCAAUUGUCAGUUUCUGGAUUAAUUGAAAUACGACAAGCAUUAAUGGGACCUUUCUUCCUUCAUCACAUACAUGUCUUGU